GAGCACUCAAACUGUGUGACCCCCAAGGCCUACACUCCGAAGAGUCCGUCAGGGCCUCUCCCUCCUGAUUCAGGUCCAACCCAGAAAACAUUUUAGCACACAGACUCUAUCUAUGAACUAUACAAAACACACGACUCCUCAAUUGUUCUCAAAAUAAUUUUAACUCGUCACCCUUUAAGGGUCUUAUCAUUAACUCGUCGCCCUUAAAGGGACUUAAC
Molecule: long non-coding RNA, 218 nt
Filed under: Glycine max (soybean)
Lineage: Eukaryota; Viridiplantae; Streptophyta; Magnoliopsida; Fabales; Fabaceae
Description: long non-coding RNA (GMAX_LNC001786)
Source: RNAcentral